GACGAACGCUGGCGGCGUGCUUAACACAUGCAAGUCGAACGGAAAGGUCCUGCUUUUGUGGGGUGCUCGAGUGGCGAACGGGUGAGUAGCACGUGAGUAACCUGCCCUUGACUUUGGGAUAACUUCAGGAAAAUGGGGAUAUUACAGGAUAGGAGCUCCUGCUGCAUGGUGGGGGUUGGAAAGUUUCGGCGGUUGUGGAUGGACUCGCGGCUUAUCAGCUUGUUGGUGGGGUAGUGGCUUACCAAGGCUUUGACGGGUAGCCGGCAUGCGAGGGUGGACAGCCACAAUGGUACUACGAUACGGCCCAGACUCCUACGUUAGGCAGUAGUGGGGAAUAUUGCAGAAUGGGCGGACGCCUGUUGCAGCAACGCCGCGUGCGUGAUAACCGCUUUCGGGUUGUAAACCGCUUUCUCCGUUGACGAAGCGUGAGUGACGGUAAUGGGUAAAGAAGCACCGGCUAACUACGUG
Molecule: ribosomal RNA, 468 nt
Filed under: uncultured bacterium
Lineage: Bacteria
Description: partial 16S ribosomal RNA
Rfam family: Bacterial small subunit ribosomal RNA
Source: RNAcentral